This 253-nucleotide ribosomal RNA is filed under the name uncultured bacterium. RNAcentral describes it as "partial 16S ribosomal RNA". It matches the Rfam family "Bacterial small subunit ribosomal RNA", at positions 524 to 776 of the family's 1533-position model. The record is from RNAcentral.
UACGGAGGAUGCAAGCGUUAUCCGGAAUUAUUGGGCGUAAAGCGUCCGCAGGUGGCACUUCAAGUCUGUCGUCAAAGACCGGGGCUUAACCCUGGAAAGGCGAUGGAAACUGAAAGGCUAGAGAGAGGUAGGGGUAGAGGGAAUUCCCAGUGUAGCGGUGAAAUGCGUAGAUAUUGGGAAGAACACCGGUGGCGAAAGCGCCUUGCUGGGUCUGCACUGACACUGAGGGACGAAAGCUAGGGGAGCGAAAGGG